GACGUAGGGCGCGAGCGUUUGUCCGGAUUUAUUGGGCGUAAAAGAGCUCGUAGGCGGCUUUGUCGCGUCGACUGUGAAAUCCCGGCGGCUCAACCCGCGGGCUUGCAGUCGAUACGGGCAGGCUAGAGUUUGGUAGGGGGAGACUGGAAUUCCUGGUGUAGCGGUGAAAUGCGCAGAUAUCAGGAGGAACACCGGUGGCGAAGGCGGGUCUCUGGGCCAAUACUGACGCUGAGGAGCGAAAGCAUGGGGAGCGAACAGG
This 259-nucleotide ribosomal RNA is filed under the name uncultured bacterium. RNAcentral describes it as "partial 16S ribosomal RNA". It matches the Rfam family "Bacterial small subunit ribosomal RNA", at positions 524 to 776 of the family's 1533-position model. The record is from RNAcentral.